GGAUGCGAUCAUACCAGCACUAAAGCACCGGAUCCCAUCAGAACUUCAAACUUAAGCGUGCUUGGGCGAGAGUAGUACUAGGAUGGUUGACCUCCUGGGAAGUCCUCGUGUUGCAUUCC
This 119-nucleotide ribosomal RNA is filed under the name Triticum aestivum (bread wheat). RNAcentral also lists the same sequence under 1 other name. Lineage: Eukaryota; Viridiplantae; Streptophyta; Magnoliopsida; Poales; Poaceae. The record is from RNAcentral.